AAAUGAUGUGCAAAAAUCUGACCCUGGGUAUUUAAAUUUUGACUUCUCCAAAAUUACGAUUGUGCUUCUACACUUUCAUAGAUCAUAACUUCUUCGUUUCAAAUCGAAAUUGGGCAUGCCGCCAGCCUACGAACUCGUAUCGACGAGUUCCACGUAACAGUGUCUCUCAAUUCUCCAAAAUAAUUCCAAAACGAAAAGUAACUAAAGGGUCCCUACC
RNAcentral lists this long non-coding RNA (217 nucleotides) under Prunus persica (peach). RNAcentral describes it as "long non-coding RNA (PPER_LNC001150)". Lineage: Eukaryota; Viridiplantae; Streptophyta; Magnoliopsida; Rosales; Rosaceae. The record is from RNAcentral.